CGAAGCGGCCCCGCGGGACACUCACCUACGGCGGUCCGCGCCGCGGAGACGAUGACCACGGGGUCCGAGCCUGCGUUCAUCCUGCGGCUCCGCUUCCGGCCAGCCAGCUGUCAGCCAGGCGCCGUGUACGACUGAGUUACUGCAUAGCCAUCAUGUUUGAUCGCCCCCAGCUCUAGUCUCCAAAUUUUGGCACAGCAACCUCCAAGACUGUCCUCCUCACUCAGAAACAUUUCUCAAGUGUCUACAUGUUCUAGAAGGGGAAUUUUUCGGAGGUGGCCUCUUCUUCGGAAUAGUCCGACGGCAUCAGGCCUCUGAAGCAAGGGGAAGGGGAAGAGAAAAGCUGAAACACAAGGUUCAUCUGUGUCUCAUGUACCUCUGGUUGGCUUCAAACUCACUGCAAAGUUGAAAAUGACCUUUGGCUUCUCUGUUUGUGUCCAUCUCAAGUGCUGGGAUACAGAAACCCCAGAUGACAUGGUUGGGGAUGGAACUCAAGCCCUUAUGGAUUCUUGACAAGCAUUCUACCAAUAAAGCUACAUCCCUGGCACCUAAAAUUUAA
Peromyscus maniculatus bairdii (prairie deer mouse) is the source of this 556-nucleotide non-coding RNA. NCBI's taxonomy places the organism in Eukaryota, Metazoa, Chordata, Mammalia, Rodentia, Cricetidae. The record is from RefSeq and is a predicted model, not a curated record.